AUUGAACGCUGGCGGCAUGCUUUACACAUGCAAGUCGAACGGCAGCGCGGGCUUCGGCCUGGCGGCGAGUGGCGAACGGGUGAGUAAUGCAUCGGAACGUGCCCAGUAGUGGGGGAUAGCCCGGCGAAAGCCGGAUUAAUGCCGCAUACGACCUGAGGGUGAAAGCGGGGGACCGAAAGGCCUCGCGCUAUUGGAGCGGCCGAUGUCGGAUUAGCUAGUUGGUGGGGUAAAGGCUUACCAAGGCGACGAUCCGUAGCUGGUCUGAGAGGACGACCAGCCACACUGGGACUGAGACACGGCCCAGACUCCUACGGGAGGCAGCAGUGGGGAAUUUUGGACAAUGGGGGCAACCCUGAUCCAGCCAUGCCGCGUGCGGGAAGAAGGCCUUCGGGUUGUAAACCGCUUUUGUUUGGGAAGAAAUCCUCUGGGCUAAUACCCCGGGGGGAUGACGGUACCGGAAGAAUAAGCACCGGCUAACUACGUG
This 484-nucleotide ribosomal RNA is filed under the name uncultured bacterium. RNAcentral describes it as "partial 16S ribosomal RNA". It matches the Rfam family "Bacterial small subunit ribosomal RNA", at positions 28 to 507 of the family's 1533-position model. The record is from RNAcentral.